UGCCAGCCGCCGCGGUAAGACGGAGGGUGCAAACGUUGUUCGGAAUCACUGGGCAUAAAGCGCGCGUGGCGGUCCGCUAAGUCAGGUGUGAAAUCCCCCGGCUCAACCGGGGAACUGCAUCUGAUACUGGCGAACUAGAGGAUGGUAGGGGUGAGCGGAACUCCAGGUGGAGCGGUGAAAUGCGUAGAUAUCUGGAGGAACACCGGUGGCGAAGGCGGCUCCCUGGCCAAAGACUGACGCUCAUGUGCGAAAGUGUGGGUAGCGAACAGGAUUAGAUA
RNAcentral lists this ribosomal RNA (278 nucleotides) under uncultured bacterium. RNAcentral's name for it is "partial 16S ribosomal RNA". It matches the Rfam family "Bacterial small subunit ribosomal RNA", at positions 506 to 784 of the family's 1533-position model. The record is from RNAcentral.